This is a long non-coding RNA of Mytilus trossulus (common blue mussel), 261 nucleotides long. RefSeq lists it as uncharacterized. The record is from RefSeq and is a predicted model, not a curated record. The transcript has 3 exons. Lineage: Eukaryota; Metazoa; Mollusca; Bivalvia; Mytilida; Mytilidae.
UUAAGGAACACUUGAAAAUAAAUGUUCUGAAUAUGUACUGAAGUAGGACAUGAAGAUCAAUAGCAAGCUUAUUCUACCAUGUUUGUUCGUUGGGGCUUUGACUUAUAUAGUAUAUACGAAUUUCAUUCCCUCCAGUACGGAUGGUAAUACUAAGCGGAAGCUAUUUCAAUAUUACAAACAAGAGGAGAAUAUAGACUCAGCCAAAAGAGAGCCGAUACACAAGAAAGACACAGGCAACGGAGAUUUUAAACCCAAAACGGA